RNAcentral lists this transfer RNA (93 nucleotides) under Violaceomyces palustris. Its description in RNAcentral is "tRNA-Asp". It matches the Rfam family "tRNA". From Rfam's summary of the family: Transfer RNA (tRNA) molecules are approximately 80 nucleotides in length. Their secondary structure includes four short double-helical elements and three loops (D, anti-codon, and T loops). The record is from RNAcentral. Lineage: Eukaryota; Fungi; Basidiomycota; Ustilaginomycetes; Violaceomycetales; Violaceomycetaceae.
UUCUGGUUAGUUUAGUGGCUAUGACGGCGCCUUGUCAAGACAACAUUGAUUCGACGCUCGGCGCAGACCCGGGUUCAAUUCCCGGACCGGAAG